AUUGAACGCUGGCGGCAGGCCUAACACAUGCAAGUCGAACGGUAGCACAGAGAGCUUGCUCUCGGGUGACGAGUGGCGGACGGGUGAGUAAUGUCUGGGAAACUGCCCGAUGGAGGGGGAUAACUACUGGAAACGGUAGCUAAUACCGCAUAACGUCGCAAGACCAAAGUGGGGGACCUUCGGGCCUCACACCAUCGGAUGUGCCCAGAUGGGAUUAGCUAGUAGGUGGGGUAAUGGCUCACCUAGGCGACGAUCCCUAGCUGGUCUGAGAGGAUGACCAGCCACACUGGAACUGAGACACGGUCCAGACCCCUACGGGUGGCAGCAGUGGGGAAUAUUGCACAAUGGGCGCAAGCCUGAUGCAGCCAUGCCGCGUGUAUGAAGAAGGCCUUCGGGUUGUAAAGUACUUUCAGCGGGGAGGAAGGCGGUGAAGUUAAUAACUUCACCGAUUGACGUUACCCGCAGAAGAAGCACCGGCUAACUCCGUGCCAGCAGCCGCCGUAA
This 504-nucleotide ribosomal RNA is filed under the name uncultured bacterium. Its description in RNAcentral is "partial 16S ribosomal RNA". It matches the Rfam family "Bacterial small subunit ribosomal RNA", at positions 30 to 523 of the family's 1533-position model. The record is from RNAcentral.